RNAcentral lists this ribosomal RNA (2377 nucleotides) under oral metagenome. RNAcentral describes it as "bacterial LSU rRNA". It matches the Rfam family "Bacterial large subunit ribosomal RNA", at positions 274 to 2323 of the family's 2925-position model. The record is from RNAcentral.
CCAUGUGGUUUCGAGCACAUGGGGUUGUAGGGCUCCGAUACGUGAUCCAGUGAUUAGAUAGCAGAACAGUCUGGAAAGGCUGACCAUAGACGGUGACAGUCCAGUACGCGAAAUCGAAAACGGCACACGGAGUACCUGAGUAGGACGGGACACGAGAAAUCCCGUUUGAAUCUGGGAGGACCAUCUUCCAAGGCUAAAUACUACCUGACGACCGAUAGCGAACCAGUACCGUGAGGGAAAGGUGAAAAGAACCCCUGUUAGGGGAGUGAAAUAGAACCUGAAACCAAUUGCCUACAAGCAGUUCGAGUCCGGCACUCAACUUGAGAUACAAGGACAAUAUAAGAGGAGACAGUAUGUACUUUGUUUAUUUGUUAAUAAAUGAAUCAGGAGGACGGUAUAUCGGUUUUACCGACAAUCUUGAAAGACGUCUUGGUGAACACAAUAAAGGAUUAAACAAAAGUACACGAGGGCAUGUUUGGAAAGUGGCUUAUUACGAAGCCUAUACAGCAAGCAAAGAUGCCCGGCGAAGAGAAAGGAAUCUAAAAAAAUCAGGUCAAGCUCGGCGUUGGUUAUAUGAGCGAGCGAGUGAAAGUCUUUGUAUUUGAAGUUGAGUGCCGGAUGAGAGCGUGCCUUUUGCAUAAUGGGCCAGCGAGUUAAUUUGUACUGCAAGGUUAAGCUGAGAAAGUGCAGCCGUAGCGAAAGCGAGUCUUAAUAGGGCGACUUAGUAGUGCGGAUUAGACCCGAAGCCGGGUGAUCUAUCCAUGAGCAGGCUGAAGCUUGAGUAAAAUCAAGUGGAGGGCCGAACCAUUGUAAGUUGAAAAUUACUUGGAUGACUUGUGGAUAGGGGUGAAAGGCCAAUCAAACCCGGUGAUAGCUGGUUCUCCCCGAAAUAUAUUGAGGUAUAGCCUCAGGCGUUUAUUAACGGAGGUAGAGCACUGACAGGGCUAGGGGUCCUACCAGAUUACCAACCCCUAUCAAACUCCGAAUACCGUUAAUUGAGAGCCUGGGAGUCAGACUACGGGUGAUAAGGUCCGUGGUCGAAAGGGAAACAGCCCAGACCAUCGGCUAAGGUCCCAAAAUCAUACUAAGUGGGAAAGGAAGUGGAACCGUUAAGACAGCCAGGAGGUUGGCUUAGAAGCAGCCAUCCUUAAAAGAAAGCGUAAUAGCUCACUGGUCUAGUAGUUCUGCGCCGAAAAUGUAACGGGGCUAAGUAUGAUACCGAAGCCAUGGCCCGGCACUCAAUAUAACGACCAAGAUAGAUGAAAGAUAUGUUCAUGUUUUUUGGUAGUUAUAUUGAGUGCCGGGGGUAGGGGAGCGUCCUCUUUCAGGAUGAAGAUGAAUCGUAAGGUUUGUUGGACAGAAGAGGAGUGAAUAUGCUGGCAUGAGUAACGAUAAAACGGGUGAGAAACCCGUUCGCCGUAAACCCAAGGUUUCCAGGGUAAAGUUAAUCUUCCCUGGGUAAGUCGGCCCCUAAGGCAAGGCUGAAAAGCGUAGCUGAUGGGAAACAGGUUAAUAUUCCUGUACUUGGUAUGCAUCGUUUGAGUGAAGGAGGAACGCAGGAGGGUAGGUCAUCCAUCUGUUGGAAUAGAUGGUUUAAGGUAGUAGGGAUGAUUCAUAGGCAAAUCCGUGAAUCUCUAUCCUGAGAACCGAUGACGAGGCGUAAGCCGGAAGUGAUUGAGCCCAUGCUGCCGAGAAAAGCUUCUAAACGAGAUGUAUAUUAAACCGUACCGCAAACCAACACAGGUGGGUGGGAUGAGUAAUCCAAGGCGCUUGAGAGAACUCUGGUUAAGGAAUUCGGCAAAAUGACCCCGUAACUUCGGGAUAAGGGGUGCCACUUUUGGUGAACUUAUUCACUUUGUAAGCUGAGAGUGGUCGCAGAGAAAUGGCGGUGGCGACUGUUUACUAAAAACAUAGGGCUAUGCUAAGUCGUAAGACGCUGUAUAUGGCCUGACGCCUGCCCGGUGCCGGAAGGUUAAGAGGAGGGGUUAUCCCUUUGGGAGAAGCUCUGAAUUGAAGCCCCGGUAAACGGCGGCCGUAACUAUAACGGUCCUAAGGUAGCGAAAUUCCUUGUCGGGUAAGUUCCGACCUGCACGAAUUGAAUUCUCGGUGAAGAUGCCGAGUACCCGCAGAAAGACGGAAAGACCCUGUGCACCUUUACUAUAGCUUGACAUUGGAUUUUGGGUGAGCAUGUGUAGGAUAGGUGGGAGACUAUGAAUCAGGCACGCCAGUGUUUGAGGAGUCGCCCUUGAAAUACCACCCUUGCUCAUCUAGGGUUCUAAUCCAUCGCCGUAAACCGGCAUGGAGACAUUGUCUGGUGGGUAGUUUGACUGGGGCGGUCGCCUCCCAAAGAGUAACGGAGGCGUGCAAAGGUUCCCUC